UACGUAGGUGGCAAGCGUUGUCCGGAUUUACUGGGCGUAAAGAGCGCGCAGGCGGUCGUUCAAGUCGCGUGUGAAAGCCCCCGGCUCAACUGGGGAGGGUCACGCGAUACUGAUCGACUCGAAGGCAGGAGAGGGAAGUGGAACUCCGAGUGUAGAGGUGAAAUUCGUAGAUAUUCGGAAGAACACCAGUGGCGAAGGCGGCUCACUGGCCCGGUACUGACGCUGAGGUGCGAAAGCGUGGGGGAGCAAACAGG
This 254-nucleotide ribosomal RNA is filed under the name uncultured bacterium. RNAcentral's name for it is "partial 16S ribosomal RNA". It matches the Rfam family "Bacterial small subunit ribosomal RNA", at positions 524 to 776 of the family's 1533-position model. The record is from RNAcentral.